RNAcentral lists this ribosomal RNA (250 nucleotides) under Escherichia coli. Its description in RNAcentral is "partial 16S ribosomal RNA". It matches the Rfam family "Bacterial small subunit ribosomal RNA", at positions 1 to 245 of the family's 1533-position model. The record is from RNAcentral. Lineage: Bacteria; Pseudomonadati; Pseudomonadota; Gammaproteobacteria; Enterobacterales; Enterobacteriaceae.
UUAAAUUGAAGAGUUUGAUCAUGGCUCAGAUUGAACGCUGGCGGCAGGCCUAACACAUGCAAGUCGAACGGUAACAGGAAGAAGCUUGCUUCUUUGCUGACGAGUGGCGGACGGGUGAGUAAUGUCUGGGAAACUGCCUGAUGGAGGGGGAUAACUACUGGAAACGGUAGCUAAUACCGCAUAACGUCGCAAGACCAAAGAGGGGGACCUUCGGGCCUCUUGCCAUCGGAUGUGCCCAGAUGGGAUUAGC